AUCCCAUGUGGUGUAGGGGUUAUCAUCGCUCGUUUUCAUUUGGAAUUCAUUCCUCUUGUACCGUGCAGACCGGGGUUCGAAUCCCCGCAUGGGAGCUUA
Molecule: transfer RNA, 99 nt
Filed under: Penicillium salamii
Lineage: Eukaryota; Fungi; Ascomycota; Eurotiomycetes; Eurotiales; Aspergillaceae
Description: tRNA-Glu
Rfam family: tRNA
About the family: Transfer RNA (tRNA) molecules are approximately 80 nucleotides in length. Their secondary structure includes four short double-helical elements and three loops (D, anti-codon, and T loops).
Source: RNAcentral